GGGAGGUAGUGACAAUAAAUAACAAUACGGGGUUCUUUUGGAUCACGUAAUUGGAAUGAGUACAAUUUAAAUCUCUUAACGAGGAACAAUUGGAGGGCAAGUCUGGUGCCAGCAGCCGCGGUAAUUCCAGCUCCAAUAGCGUAUAUUAAAGUUGUUGCAGUUAAAAAGCUCGUAGUUGAAUUUCGGGAUCAAUACGUCGGUCGUGCCUCGGUACGUACUAACGUCAUUGAUUUCUCCCUUCUGACGAGCCGUGAUGUCAUUCAUUUGGUGUUACGGGGAGUCAGGACUGUUACUUUGAAAAAUUAGAGUGUUUAAAGCAGGCUAACGCUUGAAUACAUUAGCAUGGAAUAAUGAAAUAGGACGUUAAUCCUAUUUUGUUGGUUUCUAGGAUCGACGUAAUGAUUAAUAGGGAUAGUUGGG
RNAcentral lists this ribosomal RNA (420 nucleotides) under uncultured Glomeraceae. RNAcentral's name for it is "SSU rRNA". It matches the Rfam family "Eukaryotic small subunit ribosomal RNA", at positions 459 to 886 of the family's 1831-position model. The record is from RNAcentral. Lineage: Eukaryota; Fungi; Glomeromycota; Glomeromycetes; Glomerales; Glomeraceae.